UCCAGCACCCCUCGGGGGAGCAGGGGGAGAUGCUGCCGGGAUGCGGGAUGCGGCGGCAGCCGGGCCGGGACCCCCCCGGGCGGGGAGAUAAGGAGGUUAGAGAAGGGGGGGAAGGUGACAGGAGGGGGGGACACAGCCGGGAAGGUGAGAGACAGCGAUGCUCUCUCCUCUGGCCCGGAGCAAAAACCUUUGUCCCGCAGCAGCCUCUCGGACAAGGCUUGGGACAGCCCGGUCUGGUGGAAGAUGUCCCUGCCCACGGCAGGAGGGUCAGGACUGGAUGGGCCUUUAGGUCUUUUCCAACCCAACCCAUUCUGGAGCUGUAGGAUUCCAUGAAAACCACCUCACGCCAGGAGAAGGGCUGGAUGGAGCACGGAGUGGGGAAUUAUGGCCGGAGAGAGAACUCUUGGGACUGCUUUAGGUUUCACCAGCAGAUUCCCCCGGCUGAACCCCUCGGCUGGGCUGAAUUUAGCAGCAGAAGAGAUAACCAGCAGAUAAGGACUGAUACCCUGGGAGGACAGCGGGAGACCAUGGGCGGCCGGGCAAGGGGAGAGAAGCCGGAGGCAGCGUUCGGAAAGGGAAAAAAAGGUACAAAAGCGAUGAUUCCCGUGGAUUGUUUGGCGUGAGAGUGGCCGGAUCCAGCUCUUUCUGCAGGGAAUUAUCGGCCGGUGGGGCCGGGGAUGGCAGGGACGCGCAUCCCGAAAAUCGGGGAGCUGAGGAGCCGCACCGAGCCCGGCGAGACCCAAGAGCCGGCAGGGAGAGGAUGGAUUUAGGACACAAUUUCUCCCGGAAAAAGCAGACGGGACACAGCAAAGCGCAGCGGCAAAAAAAACCAACAAAAAACCCAAACCAAACCUAAAACUCUGUUCUGCACGCUGUGGAGACUUUUUUUUUUCCUUGCGAUUAACGAAAUCUGUGUGAAAAUAACCCAGGGGAACAAACUUUGGCCUUGCCUCUCUCCUUUCCAGCCUAUAGUUCUGCCCCAGGCAGGAAAAAAGUCGAUACGAAAAUAUGCCUAUUUUUAGGGCUUUUUUUGUGGGUUUUUUUUUUUUAAUUUUUUUUCCCCCUGUAUCUAACUUAGUUCCGCGGUGGUUUUAGAGUUAAAGCUCCGGGUGUUGAUGCAUGGGAAAAAAAAAAAAAAAAAAACCCAAAAAACAACCAAACCUCACCCCCAAAAAAACCCCAAAACACUUUAGAAACUAGUGACGGGGGGGACGGAGGGGAAGAGGGGAGAAAGUUAAUUUAAAUUUCUAUCUGCGCUAAAAAUUGAAUUUUUAAAAAGUCACGAAGAAAAAUGGUUAAAAAUAAGGGGAAAAAUCAGCGGGGCAAAUGUGAUUUUAGGAGGGCAAAAGGAAUAAAAGCGGCCGGCGGCUGCUGCGUAUUGGACACUUGGGAGUAUUUGGGG
Long non-coding RNA from Poecile atricapillus (Black-capped chickadee), 1402 nucleotides. RefSeq lists it as uncharacterized. The transcript has 3 exons. NCBI's taxonomy places the organism in Eukaryota, Metazoa, Chordata, Aves, Passeriformes, Paridae. The record is from RefSeq and is a predicted model, not a curated record.